CCCGGGGCGGCGAAAGCUCGUAACGACAUCGCAGGGACGACCCGCCACCCCCCCCGACACCACAGCGCAGACCACGUGACGGGCCGUCUCCACGUCACGCAGUUAUCACGCCGGAGCCAAAUCGCCGCCCGGUCCCGCCGGACCCACACUCCCGGCGAGACGAGACGCCUCAGGGAUAACCGUGCUGUCCAGUGGACGGCUGGCAAUUGGGCGCCCCACUUCCGGAAACUCGCGGGCCACGCCUACCACCCUACUGGCCCACUGCCCGACUUCCAGGAACGCCGCGGGCCACGCCCACCGCCCGAACUCCGGGAGCCGAGUCGCCCGCCCCCCACCCACCGGAAGCAAAAGCCCCGCCCCCUCCCGGAAGCCAGCCCGAGAGACUGUUCUGGGCCCGGCGGUCCCAAGCUGACGCACCGAGAGAUUCGCUUUCGCUUUCGCGGGAGACCUCCUGAGGCCCCAGGCCGGUUAUUACUACAUCAGCUCCACCUCCGAUCAUCAGGCAUUGGACCCCGGAGGUUGGGGACCCUUGCUUCAGCACAAAGCUUCACACAGCGCCAGAGAGGAGGCCACGAGGGCAAGGUAGGCGAUCACGUCCCAACUGGAGUUUCGUCUUUAUGUUCAGAUUCAGCUCUUCAAGCUGAUGACUGAUUGUC
Molecule: long non-coding RNA, 656 nt
Filed under: Bos grunniens (domestic yak)
Lineage: Eukaryota; Metazoa; Chordata; Mammalia; Artiodactyla; Bovidae
Description: lncRNA (ENSBGRG00000009105.1)
Source: RNAcentral